This 423-nucleotide ribosomal RNA is filed under the name bacterium. RNAcentral describes it as "partial 16S ribosomal RNA". It matches the Rfam family "Bacterial small subunit ribosomal RNA", at positions 355 to 776 of the family's 1533-position model. The record is from RNAcentral.
UGAGGAAUAUUGGUCAAUGGACGGAAGUCUGAACCAGCCAAGUAGCGUGCAGGAUGACGGCCCUCCGGGUUGUAAACUGCUUUUAGUUGGGAAUAAAAAGAGGGACGUGUCCCUAAUUGUAUGUACCUUCAGAAAAAGGACCGGCUAAUUCCGUGCCAGCAGCCGCGGUAAUACGGAAGGUCCAGGCGUUAUCCGGAUUUAUUGGGUUUAAAGGGAGCGUAGGCGGAUUGUUAAGUCAGUGGUGAAAGACGGUGGCUCAACCAUCGUUAGCCAUUGAAACUGGUAGUCUUGAGUGCAGACAGGGAUGCUGGAACUCGUGGUGUAGCGGUGAAAUGCUUAGAUAUCACGAUGAACUCCGAUCGCGAAGGCAGGUGUCCGGGCUGCAACUGACGCUGAGGCUCGAAAGUGUGGGUAUCAAACAGG